UAGCCCCGUAUUCGAAAUCCCAUUGGAAGUACUAAGCGUACGACAAGUAAGGCGGGACACGUGAAAUCCUGUCCGAAGACGGGGGGACCAUCCUCCAAGGCUAAAUACUCAUCAUCGACCGAUAGUGAACCAGUACCGUGAGGGAAAGGCGAAAAGAACCCCGGGAGGGGAGUGAAACAGAACCUGAAACCUGAUGCAUACAAACAGUGGGAGCCCCGUAUGGGGUGACUGCGUACCUUUUGUAUAAUGGGUCAACGACUUACAUUCAGUAGCGAGCUUAACCGGAUAGGGGAGGCGCAGGGAAACCGAGUCUUAAUAGGGCGCCAAGUUGCUGGGUGUAGACCCGAAACCGAGUGAUCUAUCCAUGGCCAGGAUGAAGGUGCGGUAACACGCACUGGAGGUCCGAACCCACGCAUGUUGCAAAAUGCGGGGAUGAGCUGUGGAUAGGGGUGAAAGGCUAAACAAACUCGGAGAUAGCUGGUUCUCCCCGAAAACUAUUUAGGUAGUGCCUCAUGUAUCACUUCCGGGGGUAAAGCACUGUUAUGGCUAGGGGGUCAUUGCGACUUACCAACCCAUGGCAAACUCAGAAUACCGGAAAGUGCAAUCAUGGGAGACAGACAGCGGGUGCUAACGUCCGUUGUCAAGAGGGAAACAACCCAGACCGCCGGCUAAGGUCCCAAAUGACAGAUUAAGUGGUAAACGAAGUGGGAAGGCACAGACAGCCAGGAUGUUGGCUUAGAAGCAGCCAUCAUUUAAAGAAAGCGUAAUAGCUCACUGGUCGAGUCUUCCUGCGCGGAAGAUGUAACGGGGCUCAAAUCUGUAACCGAAGCCGCGGAUGCGUUUUUACGCAUGGUAGGGGAGCGUUCUGUAAGCCUGCGAAGGCAGACUGUAAAGUCUGCUGGAGGUAUCAGAAGUGCGAAUGUUGACAUGAGUAGCGAUAAAGCGGGUGAAAAGCCCGCUCGCCGAAAGCCCAAGGUUUCCUACGCAACGUUCAUCGGCGUAGGGUGAGUCGGUCCCUAAGGCGAGGCAGAAAUGCGUAGCCGAUGGGAAACGGGUUAAUAUUCCCGUACUUUGAUUCAAUGCGAUGUGGGGACGGAGAAGGUUAUGCCGGCAGACUGUUGGAAUAGUCUGUUCAAGCACGUAGGUGGAAAGAGUAGGCAAAUCCGCUCUUUCUCAACACCGAGAUGCGAUAACGAGCAACCAAGGUUGCGAAGCGGCAAAUACCACGCUUCCAGGAAAAGCCACUAAGCUCCAGUUGAAUCAGAACCGUACCGCAAACCGACACAGGUGGGCAGGAUGAGAAUUCUAAGGCGCUUGAGAGAACUCGGGAGAAGGAACUCGGCAAAUUGAUACCGUAACUUCGGGAGAAGGUAUGCCCUUUCAGGUGAAGGACUCGCUCCGUAAGCCAGAGAGGGCCGCAGAGAAUAGGUGGCUGCGACUGUUUAUUAAAAACACAGCACUCUGCCAACACGAAAGUGGACGUAUAGGGUGUGACGCCUGCCCGGUGCUGGAAGGUUAAUUGAAGAUGUGCAAGCAUCGGAUCGAAGCCCCAGUAAACGGCGGCCGUAACUAUAACGGUCCUAAGGUAGCGAAAUUCCUUGUCGGGUAAGUUCCGACCCGCACGAAUGGCGUAACGAUGGCCACACUGUCUCCUCCCGAGACUCAGCGAAGUUGAAAUGGUUGUGAAGAUGCAAUCUCCCCGCUGCUAGACGGAAAGACCCCGUGAACCUUUACUGCAGCUUUGCAUUGGACUUUGAAGUCACUUGUGUAGGAUAGGUGGGAGGCUGUGAAACAGAAACGCCAGUUUCUGCGGAGCCGUCCUUGAAAUACCACCCUGGUG
RNAcentral lists this ribosomal RNA (1840 nucleotides) under Conchiformibius kuhniae DSM 17694. Its description in RNAcentral is "bacterial LSU rRNA". It matches the Rfam family "Bacterial large subunit ribosomal RNA", at positions 368 to 2210 of the family's 2925-position model. The record is from RNAcentral. Lineage: Bacteria; Pseudomonadati; Pseudomonadota; Betaproteobacteria; Neisseriales; Neisseriaceae.